RNAcentral lists this ribosomal RNA (581 nucleotides) under uncultured bacterium. Its description in RNAcentral is "bacterial SSU rRNA". It matches the Rfam family "Bacterial small subunit ribosomal RNA", at positions 102 to 679 of the family's 1533-position model. The record is from RNAcentral.
ACGGGUGAGUAAUGUCUGGGAAACUGCCUGAUGGAGGGGGAUAACUACUGGAAACGGUAGCUAAUACCGCAUAACGUCGCAAGACCAAAGAGGGGGACCUUCGGGCCUCUUGCCAUCAGAUGUGCCCAGAUGGGAUUAGCUAGUAGGUGGGGUAACGGCUCACCUAGGCGACGAUCCCUAGCUGGUCUGAGAGGAUGACCAGCCACACUGGAACUGAGACACGGUCCAGACUCCUACGGGAGGCAGCAGUGGGGAAUAUUGCACAAUGGGCGCAAGCCUGAUGCAGCCAUGCCGCGUGUAUGAAGAAGGCCUUCGGGUUGUAAAGUACUUUCAGCGGGGAGGAAGGUGUUGUGGUUAAUAACCACAGCAAUUGACGUUACCCGCAGAAGAAGCACCGGCUAACUCCGUGCCAGCAGCCGCGGUAAUACGGAGGGUGCAAGCGUUAAUCGGAAUUACUGGGCGUAAAGCGCACGCAGGCGGUCUGUCAAGUCGGAUGUGAAAUCCCCGGGCUCAACCUGGGAACUGCAUUCGAAACUGGCAGGCUAGAGUCUUGUAGAGGGGGGUAGAAUUCCAGGUGUAGC